GUCUAUGGCCAUGCUACCCUGAACAAGCCCGAUUCUGUCUGAUCUCAGAAGCUAAGCAGGGUCGAGCCUGGUUAGCAAUUGGAUGGGAGAUUACUUAGAAAGACCAGAUGCUGUAGGCA
This 119-nucleotide ribosomal RNA is filed under the name Pteropus alecto (black flying fox). Lineage: Eukaryota; Metazoa; Chordata; Mammalia; Chiroptera; Pteropodidae. The record is from RNAcentral.